UACGAGUGCUCCAAGCGUUAUCCGGAAUCAUUGGGCGUAAAGGGUGUGUAGGUGGUUGUGUUAGUCUUCUGUUAAAUUCUUCGGCUUAACCGGGGUCAUGCAGGGGAAACGGCACAACUAGAGGAUGCGAGAGGUACAUGGAACUCAUGGAGUAGGGGUGAAAUGCGUAGAUAUCAUGGGGAACACCGAAAGCGAAGGCAAUGUACUGGCGCACUCCUGACACUGAAACACGAAAGCGUAGGUAGCGAAUGGG
RNAcentral lists this ribosomal RNA (253 nucleotides) under uncultured bacterium. RNAcentral's name for it is "partial 16S ribosomal RNA". It matches the Rfam family "Bacterial small subunit ribosomal RNA", at positions 524 to 776 of the family's 1533-position model. The record is from RNAcentral.